AACGUAGGAGACAAGCGUUAUCCGGAGUUACUGGGCGUAAAGGGCGUGUAGGCGGUGAGGUAAGUCUGUUGUGAAAGCGCCUGGCUUAACCGGGCGAGGCCAAUGGAGACUGCCUGACUAGAGGGCGGUAGAGGGGUGUGGAAUUCCGGGUGUAGUGGUGAAAUGCGUAGAGAUCCGGAGGAACACCAGAGGCGAAGGCGACACUCUAGGCCGCACCUGACGCUGAGACGCGACAGCACGGGGAGCGAAC
RNAcentral lists this ribosomal RNA (250 nucleotides) under uncultured bacterium. RNAcentral describes it as "partial 16S ribosomal RNA". It matches the Rfam family "Bacterial small subunit ribosomal RNA", at positions 524 to 773 of the family's 1533-position model. The record is from RNAcentral.